AGUCAAGUAAUUAAGUGCAUGUGGUGGAUGCCUUGGCAGUCAGAGGCGAUGAAAGACGUGAUAGCCUGCGAAAAGCUCCGGGGAGGCGGCAAAUAUCCUUUGAUCCGGAGAUGUCUGAAUGGGGGAACCCACCUACUUUAAGGUAGGUAUUGCAACAUGAAUACAUAGUGUUGCAAGGCGAACGAGGGGAAGUGAAACAUCUCAGUACCCUUAGGAAAAGAAAUCAAUUGAGAUUCCCUCAGUAGCGGCGAGCGAACGGGGAUCAGCCCAUUAAGUUAUGUGUGUUUUAGUGGAACGCUCUGGGAAGUGCGAACGUAGAGGGUGAUAUUCCCGUACACGAAAGGGCACACAUAAUGAUGACGAGUAGGGCGAGGCACGUGAAACCUUGUCUGAAUAUGGGGGGACCGAUCCUCCAAGGCUAAAUACUCCUGACUGACCGAUAGUGAACCAGUACCGUGAGGGAAAGGCGAAAAGAACCCCUGUGAGGGGAGUGAAAUAGAUCCUGAAACCGCAUGCAUACAAGCAGUGGGAGCACCUUCGUGGUGUGACUGCGUACCUUUUGUAUAAUGGGUCAGCGACUUAUAUUCAGUAGCGAGGUUAACCGUAUAGGGGAGCCGUAGAGAAAUCGAGUCUUAAUAGGGCGUUUAGUUGCUGGGUAUAGACCCGAAACCAGGCGAUCUAUCCAUGAGCAGGUUGAAGGUUGGGUAACACUAACUGGAGGACCGAACCCACUGUCGUUGAAAAGCCAGGGGAUGACUUGUGGAUAGGGGUGAAAGGCUAAUCAAGCCUGGUGAUAGCUGGUUCUCCCCGAAAGCUAUUUAGGUAGCGCCUCGGACGAAUACCAUAGGGGGUAGAGCACUGUUUCGGCUAGGGGGUCAUCCCGACUUACCAAACCGAUGCAAACUCCGAAUACCUAUGAGUACUAUCCGGGAGACAGACUGCGGGUGCUAACGUCCGUAGUCAAGAGGAAAACAAUCCAGACCGCCAGCUAAGGCCCCAAAAUCAUAGUUAAGUGGGAAACGAUGUGGGAAGGCAUAGACAGCUAGGAGGUUGGCUUAGAAGCAGCCACCCUUUAAAGAAAGCGUAAUAGCUCACUAGUCGAGUCGGCCUGCGCGGAAGAUGUAACGGGGCUAAAACUAUGUGCCGAAGCUGCGGAUGUAUACUUUGUAUACGUGGUAGGGGAGCGUUCUGUAAGCCGAUGAAGGUGUGUUGAGAAGCAUGCUGGAGGUAUCAGAAGUGCGAAUGCUGACGUGAGUAACGACAAAACGGGUGAAAAACCCGUUCGCCGAAAGACCAAGGGUUCCAGUCCAACGUUAAUCGGGGCUGGGUGAGUCGACCCCUAAGGCGAGGCCGAAAGGCGUAGUCGAUGGGAAAAUGGUUAAUAUUCCAUUACUUCUGUGUAAUGCGAUGAGAGGACGGAGAAGGCUAAAUCAGCCUGGCGUUGGUUGUCCAGGUGAAAGGAUGUAGGCAUGUAUCUUAGGCAAGUCCGGGGUACUCUAUGCUGAGAUCUGAUAGCAAGCUGUACUUGUACAGCGAAGUGGUUGAUGCCAUGCCUCCAGGAAAAGUCUCUAAGCUUCAGUUACACAGGAAUCGUACCCGAAACCGACACAGGUGGUCAGGUCGAGUAGACCAAGGCGCUUGAGAGAACUCUGCUGAAGGAACUAGGCAAAAUGGUACCGUAACUUCGGGAGAAGGUACGCUGUUGUUGGUGAUGGAACUCGCUUCCUGAGCUGACGACAGCCGCAGAAACCAGGCCGCUGCAACUGUUUAUUAAAAACAUAGCACUCUGCAAACACGAAAGUGGACGUAUAGGGUGUGAUGCCUGCCCGGUGCUGGAAGGUUAAUUGAUGGGGUUAGCGUAAGCGAAGCUCUUGAUCGAAGCCCCAGUAAACGGCGGCCGUAACUAUAACGGUCCUAAGGUAGCGAAAUUCCUUGUCGGGUAAGUUCCGACCUGCACGAAUGGCAUAAUGAUGGCGGCGCUGUCUCCAGCAGAGGCUCAGUGAAAUCGAAAUCGCUGUGAAGAUGCAGUGUACCCGCGGCUAGACGGAAAGACCCCGUGAACCUUUACUGCAGCUUGACACUGAACUUUGACCUUACUUGUGUAGGAUAGGUGGGAGGCUUUGAAGCUGGAACGCUAGUUCCAGUGGAGCCGUCCUUGAAAUACCACCCUGGUAAUGUUGAGGUUCUAACUCUGUCCCGUGAUCCGGGACGAGGACCGUGUCUGGUGGGUAGUUUGACUGGGGCGGUCUCCUCCUAAAGAGUAACGGAGGAGUACGAAGGUGCGCUCAGCGUGGUCGGAAAUCACGCGUAGAGUAUAAAGGCAAAAGCGCGCUUAACUGCGAGACCCACAAGUCGAGCAGGUACGAAAGUAGGUCUUAGUGAUCCGGUGGUUCUGUAUGGAAGGGCCAUCGCUCAACGGAUAAAAGGUACUCUGGGGAUAACAGGCUGAUACCGCCCAAGAGUUCAUAUCGACGGCGGUGUUUGGCACCUCGAUGUCGGCUCAUCUCAUCCUGGGGCUGAAGCAGGUCCCAAGGGUAUGGCUGUUCGCCAUUUAAAGAGGUACGCGAGCUGGGUUUAGAACGUCGUGAGACAGUUCGGUCCCUAUCUACCGUGGGCGCUGGAAAUUUGAGAGGAUCUGCUCCUAGUACGAGAGGACCAGAGUGGACGAACCUCUGGUGUACCGGUUGUGACGCCAGUCGCAUCGCCGGGUAGCUAUGUUCGGAAGGGAUAACCGCUGAAAGCAUCUAAGCGGGAAGCCUACCUCAAGAUAAGAUUUCCCUAGGACUUUAUGUCCUCUAAAGAGCCGUUCGAGACUAGGACGUUGAUAGGUUGGAUGUGGAAGCAUAGUGAUAUGUGAAGCUGACCAAUACUAAUUGCUCGUGAGGCUUGACUAUACAACACCC
This 2903-nucleotide ribosomal RNA is filed under the name Acinetobacter baumannii OIFC143. RNAcentral describes it as "bacterial LSU rRNA". It matches the Rfam family "Bacterial large subunit ribosomal RNA". The record is from RNAcentral. Lineage: Bacteria; Pseudomonadati; Pseudomonadota; Gammaproteobacteria; Moraxellales; Moraxellaceae.